Long non-coding RNA from Ceratitis capitata (Mediterranean fruit fly), 598 nucleotides. RefSeq lists it as uncharacterized. NCBI's taxonomy places the organism in Eukaryota, Metazoa, Arthropoda, Insecta, Diptera, Tephritidae. The transcript has 2 exons. The record is from RefSeq and is a predicted model, not a curated record.
UGUGUGGGAUAAAAUUUUUGAUUUUUACAUCAAGUGUGAAUUUGAUUGACGGCAAAAAAAAAGUUUUCUACUUAAUCUACCGGAAAUGAUUUGAGUGAAAGUGAAUGUGACAAUUUACGCUUGUGAAAAUUAAGUGUGAGCAUUUGCGUUUAUUUGAAGACUGUCUAUACUUAGAAAAAAAUCAAAAAAGGAAUUAUGGCUGAAAUAUUAAUUUCUAUAUCUGAACGAAUCGGUGGUACGGAGACUGUGUGAUUUCGAUGGUUUCCAGCACCAAAUUCCAUGCGCUUAAAUAUUUUUUUGACGGAUUUUUGACUCGGAAUCUCCCAACUGAACAAAUUGGUUGUAUGAGUGCUAUGUGUUAUAGUGCUUUGAUGCGGCUCAUUUUUUAGCACUAAUAUGUAAUUCCAUUAUCCGUGUAUGUGUGCAAAAUACCAAAUUUCAUGUUCUUAGCUACUUUUGAACAGAUUUUUGAACAAAAAUUGUAAAUCUGAACAAAUCUGUUUAGGAAACUAGAUGUGUUAUACUAAUCGUCCCAUUUUAUAGAUUUUCAGUGCCAAUAUUUAACAUCAUUAUAUAUGUAAAGAGUAUCAUACGCUUA